CCUCAGCUUCCAAUUGAAAGACAGAAUAGAGAGGGUAACAAAAGAAAAGUAUCAGUAACUUAAAACGGAAAUCCAGAAAAAAUCCAGAUGUAGUAUCGGCUUUUCACUAAAAGUUCAGCAAUUGCAAAUAAAAUUUGCCCUGAAUAGAGUCGAAAUUCUCACCAUCCAAUUAGAAAAACAAACUUAUCAAUGAAUUUCUUUGCCAAAAAUGGAUCCAGAUGGACUGAGUAUUGGCUCUUCUUUCGAACUUAUUUCAACUAUUUUAGUCGAAUAAAAAUUUGAGGGACGAGUAGUCCUACAGCACAUUGAAGUUGCCCGGUAUCCUUGUGCUGCAUGUUGGACACAUUGAGCCAAUUGCACCUGCUGCUUCCAUUUCAUGCUGGUUAGUCUCAUGAUAGAACACACUUCUGCACCAAACACAAACACUUGAGCUCUUACUCCUAUUCUCCUCUGUAUUUGGCAUCAGAGCAUUGUUUCCCAGCCAAAAUGAGGAAUCGAGUCCUUGCUCCAUAUUUGAGUUGUGCGAGAAAACAUUGGACUCCAUGGGAAUAACAUUUGAACUGUUCGAACCCAGAAAACUGUAUUCAACUGGUUCAGAUCUACCUGAG
RNAcentral lists this long non-coding RNA (608 nucleotides) under Olea europaea subsp. europaea. The record is from RNAcentral. Lineage: Eukaryota; Viridiplantae; Streptophyta; Magnoliopsida; Lamiales; Oleaceae.